AGUGGAGUUGAUCAUCUUCCAUUGGGUGCAGUUCUUGGAGGAAUCAUUGGGAUCAUCGUGCUCAUCGGCCUGGUUGUCUUUGUUUGGCGUUUCAAGUCUCCACAUCCAACUGCACAUCAGAGUCAGAAUCAGCCUGUUGGAGAGACAGUGACAACAGAAGAAGAAGGCGUGCACUAUGGAGAGAUUAACUUCUCGGGGCUCAGAUCUGGACCGUCUUCGGUCUCGGAGCAGGACGGUGGACAGCAGGAGGACACGCUGUAUGCGCAGGUCAAAGUGUCCAAGGCAGCAGACAACGUCACACGGACUGCUGACGUCCCAGAGGAUCUCUACGCUCAAGUGAAGAGAAAAUGAGCCAUUUCUUGUGGUCACAUUUGGGUUUUAUUGUUAAUAUGCUUUUUACAUAAAUAACAAGCUUCAUCUGUCAGUUUAUGGAGAAAAAGAAUUGUAAGAAAAUGUAAUCUUCACUGCUCACAGUUAAUUAAAGGGGAACUUCAAACCUCCACA
Non-coding RNA from Gasterosteus aculeatus aculeatus (three-spined stickleback), 504 nucleotides. NCBI's taxonomy places the organism in Eukaryota, Metazoa, Chordata, Actinopteri, Perciformes, Gasterosteidae. The record is from RefSeq and is a predicted model, not a curated record.